RNAcentral lists this ribosomal RNA (497 nucleotides) under uncultured bacterium. Its description in RNAcentral is "partial 16S ribosomal RNA". It matches the Rfam family "Bacterial small subunit ribosomal RNA", at positions 28 to 507 of the family's 1533-position model. The record is from RNAcentral.
GAUGAACGCUGGCGGCGUGCCUAAUACAUGCAAGUCGAGCGAACAGACGAGGAGCUUGCUCCUCUGACGUUAGCGGCGGACGGGUGAGUCACACGUGGAUAACCUCCCUAUAAGACUGGGAUAACUUCGGGAAACCGGAGCUAAUACCGGAUAAUAUAUUGAACCGCAUGGUUCAAUAGUGAAAUACGGUUUUGCUGUCUCUUCUCGCUGGUUCCGCGCCGCAUUAGCUGGUUGGUAAGGUAACGGCUUACCAAGGUAACGAUGCGUAGCCGACCUGAGAGGGGGAUCGGCCACACUGGAACUGAGACACGGUCCAGACUCCUACGGGAGGCAGCAGUAGGGAAUCUGCGGCAAUGGGCGAAAGCUUGACGGAGCAACGCCGAGUGAGUGAUGAAGGUCUUCGGAUCGUAAAACUCUGUUAUUAGGGAAGAACAAAUGUGUAAGUAACUAUGCACGUCUUGACGGUACCUAAUCAGAAAGCCACGGCUAACUACGUG